Molecule: long non-coding RNA, 298 nt
Organism: Dromaius novaehollandiae (emu)
Lineage: Eukaryota; Metazoa; Chordata; Aves; Casuariiformes; Dromaiidae
Exons: 3
Source: RefSeq, a predicted model, not a curated record
AGCUGGAGCACUUGUCCCUCUCCUGUGAGGAUCCUCUGGUGUCUGAUGGAGGGGCAGCUCACACUGCAAGUACGAUUCAGAUGCUACUUCGUUUCUGGAUGGGGACGUGAGCUGUAUCCUCUCCCUGGAAGGGACGGCGGGCAGCAGCUCCGAACUGAGGCAUGGGUGCUGCAUGAGGGCCCGUCCGCUGAAGGUAACUCUCAGGUCAACCCCCCUCCUCAGUAGGGCUCCUGAUCUAGCGUGGGGCUCCCUGACUCUGCAGAGCCCAUGCUAUCUACGUGUGAGAGGCACCAGCAGG